UCUGCACAUGACCAAAGGCAUUAGCGUAAGCAAUAUUUUAAAACUGCAUGGUGCCGAUGGCUCAACUACCAGGGUCACAGAAAGGGCAAAGCCAAUUCCAAUGAAAGCAUGCUCUAGUUUACCUUAGUAAGCUAUUUGGGAAACAAGGUCCUGUAAGGGAAGUGGGGAGAGGGAAAACGAACAGGAGAUGGCUAAUUCUGUUCACCCACCCUUCCAUCCUGUAAUGCCAUUCUGAAAUGCUAUAUUAAGUCCUUGUACUGUAAAGAGUUGAGAUUAAUUGCAUAGGUGAACCCUAUCCCAAGUUAAUAACCAAAUGGAGAAAAAGAGGGGGUAUUAACAAGUAAUUUUUGCAGAUUAAUUGAAUUGCAAAAUUUUAACAACCAGACAUUAUUGGGUAUUUCUGUAGCACAUUGAAUAGGACAAGCUGCUUCAUGGUUUUUAAUUGCACUCAUUUUAUGAGCUCCAUAACUAUUUUCCAGGCAAGGGGGCUUAACGAAGGGAAUAAAUAUUUCUACUGCACUUUGCAGUGUAUAAAGUCUGAGACACCAUUAUCUUGAUGCUAAAUUCCAGAAAGGGUCAAGCAUGCCAGAAGUAAUUUUUUUUGCAAUGUUAGCUUAUUUCUUUUUAAGGAGAGUUCACCUUAAAAGGUGAACAAUAAACGACGGAGCAAUCCAGGCAUGUCCAUCGGAAGUUAAGACUCACCGAGCUCAAUGGAGCUUAGUCCUAGGAAUGGGCGCACAGCUUUUAGCCUCAGGCUGCAAUCCUAUGCACGCUUCCCCGGCACUGCUUUGCUAGGCUGCUCGUCUUUAAGUGCCACCAGCCUCUGAGUGCUUCCUUAUCUUAACUAUCUGCGACAAAUUCUACGCUCCGCUCCCGUGGAAAAAAUGCAAAAAGUCUCCCUAAGGAGCGGCAGCCAAGGCCAGGAUCCCGCCGCGCCCCCACCCGUCGCCGUCCUUCCAGCCCAAAUGCAUGUAAUGGAGAGCGAUCGCCCGAAGCGCACUCAGCAGAUUGCCAUCUGCGCAGUAUUUCGAGUUUCCCCUGCCUCGCUGCCCGCUCUUUGUUUUCCAAAUAGUUCUGCCCUGACAUCAUCGGGGUUUGGAUUGCAAUUAACAUUCCUGCGAAGUGAGAGCGAGAGCUCCGGGCUCCGGGAAGCAGCGGCCAGCGGCAGGCCAGACAAAGCCAAGGCGGCCGCGCGCGAGAGGGAUGCCCCUAGCAGCACCUGCCCGCCCAGCCCACGCGCGCCCCCCAGCCCCAAGCAGCAGCACCCUGGUCCCACCCACGCCUGGAAACGUUACCUGCCCGCGCACGAGAGAUUCGGGCAAGGCGAACCGAGAAUGAAGACAACCUAGGAAAAGUCUGGGGAGAUUUUUUUCUCUCUUUUUUUGGUGGCGGGAGAGGACACCAGAAGGAGGCAAGGAGCUACGCACCUCCAGAUCAAAAUUUAGGAGGGAAAGCCAGAAAAUUUGUCCAAGGCAAAGCAAACAGGGCAAUCGCUUUGGAGGUCUCUCUCCCCCCUCCCCCGUUUUAUAGCAAGAGUUCGGGUUUUGGAUGGUUUGAUCUCCCACCAGUGUGUCACCAGACAGUCGCCACGGUGAGAGCCGACUCCAAAUGCGGGGAAAGUUGGCCGCUGCUUGGCGGUCUCCAGCUAUGCCGAAGGACAUAUGUCACACAGCCAUUCUCGGUGUGUCUCUCUCUCGCGCGCGCUCCCCUUGCUUGCAGUCGCUCCCGCGUGGCGCGGAACUUACCGGACCAUCGCAGCCCCACAAUGGCUUCGUGCUAAACUGCGGGCUCGGUUCGGACCCGCUCUUAGCGCCGGGCAGGAAGCGAGGGCUCAACCCCAGCAAAUGUCCGGCUCCGCGGCUUGCGCGCUCCUCCUGGCUUCAGCGCCUGAGUGAGCCGAGGGGGUGCAUGUAAAGCCCCGCGCAGCGCCUGCCUGCGUCCGCCCCUGCUGGAAGGAAGGCAAACUGAGCGCACAGCCUGCCUCCGCCAGCUGUAAUGAGAGCCGGGGAGGCUGGGCCGCGCGAAGAGGCUGCUGCUGCUAUGCCAGGAAUGCGAGAGCGCCAGGUCCGCCUCCCCCCACUCCGCGAUCAAAAGCUGCUCGCUGCAAAGAGAGGCUUGUCGAGGCGGCUCGGCAGCCUGUUCGCUCCCGCGGUUGCGAUUAACGCCGGAGCCCGGGAGGGGGCGCGACGCUGCGUCCCCACUAGCCGUGCGGCCCAGUCGGCGCGCGCCGCGGAAUAAUAGCCUGACGCCUCGCUGUGCGAAGGAAGGAGGCCACGAAUGCGCUGGAAAUGUUCAUUUGCUAUCUAUUCUAAAUUGGCUGAGGGGCACGCAGAUAUUAGGUCGGACUCCAGAGCGUAGAACUCGCCUAACUUCCCCAGUUACUCCCAUUGCUUAAGCCUCUCUCCGCCCCCACCCCCAACUCAGCUACGUUUUCUUCUAAAAGAGGGGCAGGGGGAGCUUGUUUUGUGAGGAGUCUCCAAAAAUAAAUUAGUUGCUCCUGGCCAUUUCUAAUACAUCUUCCAGACAGCGGAGUUCCCCCGCAGCCAGUUUAUUUAAGACCAUUACUGUACAGUUUAAUAGAGGAAAUAUAUUUUAAGCAAUAGGCAGCAAGUUUUUAAAAAGGCACCAAUUACAAAAAUAUGCAAUGAAACCUUCAACACAAACGGCCAAUAAAGUAUCAGUACUGUAAUUGAGUACUGAUAGUAACCGCUUCUCACUGACCACACCACUCAGCCUCUUACCAGACCGCAAACUCACCAACUAUUGCAUGUACAAAGCUGAACUGGUCCCCUGAACUGGCUGAGGGUAGAGUUUGCUUUUAUGAGAUUUGUCAGGCUGCCCACAGCUGUGUCCUAUUCAAUCAAUAAACUGCUCUUCACACACCCAGUUCUCCAGCUUAGGGGGCUGAAAGAGGUGGAGUUGCACAAAUGCAAAAAGAUAGCAAAUGUGACUCCUUCCACUCACAGUUCUUCCUCAACUUUCUACACUCACCACUCCUCUUCCAGCUGUUUUGGAGAGGAUCCCAAAUUUUGGGGUUCCUGAUGUUUCCCUGUCCUUUGGCAAGGCUGCUUACUUUUCUGGGCAGGCCUCAAGAUCUGAUGGCAAGGCCUCAGGCUUACUACAGUUGUGCCCCAUUCAGCAAUCUAUCAGCUGCUGAAAACAUCCAAUUCCAGACUUAGCAGAGAGGGAAGAUACUCCAUGCAAAAAAAUAACCACCAACGUAGGGCUUUGUGACUGCAACUUUUAGACUGCGCUGAAUCUCUGGUGUGCUGCUUAGGCUAGCAAGGAUUGGCCCUGUUUCCCCUGUGGCUUGUGUACAUUGUCAGGCAUCCUGAAUCAGCAUAUCUGACCCUUGAAAAUACCUUUAUCUGGAUGUACCCCAACAGUAAUGGCAUCUCUAAGGGCGACUCUAGUAAGUGGAUAAAGAAGGUUGUAAAGGAACAACGGAGCCAGCAGAGGGGGAUGUGUGUAACCAGCUUUGCCACACUUGCCCUUGCAUUAAUAUUUGCCUCUGAUUUUGGUAUAAUUAAAACAAAGCGUGUAGAGCUGAGUCUACCACCACAUGCUUGAGAUGGCAGAUUAAUUUGUCUACCUGGAUUCCUCCAUAACCAGCAGCCUCUCCAUUGAUGCUGAGCUGGACAAGUGUAUUUGCAAGGCAGCUACGGCAUUGGUUUGCCUCUCCAAAAGGGAGAACAUGAUGCUAAUGUCCAAUACCAAGAUGAAGGUCUACCAGGCUUGUUUAUGGUAGUGAAUCAUGGGCAACUUACACCUGCCAGGAGCAACAUUUCAAUGCCUUCCAUAUGCACUGCAUCAGGAAGAUUUUGAGCAUCACUUGGCAGGACAGAUGUGCUCUCCCAAGCCCAUAUUCCCAGCAUUUUCACACACCUGUCUCAAAUAUGUCUAUGCUGGCUGGGUCAUUUCCACAGAAUGGAAGAUGGUGGGACCAUCUUGCUGUUUUUGGUCUCCAGCUGUCUUCAGACUACAAUGCCCAUUAUCCCUGACCACUGGUCUUGCUAGCUAGGGAUGAUGGGAGUUGUGGUCCAAAAACAGCUGGAGACCCAAGGUUGGCAAACAGGUCUGGCUUCAGGCACCAUGUCUCUGUUACAAGGUAAAAGGUAAAGGUACCCCUGCCCGUACAGGCCAGUCGUGUCAGACUCUAGGGUUGUGCGCCCAUCUCACUUAAGAGGCCGGGGGCCAGCACUGUCCGGAGACACUUCCGGGUCACGUGGCCAGCGUGACGAAGCUGCUCUGGUGAGCCAGCACCAGCGCAGCACACGGAAACGCCGUUUACCUUCCCGCUGGUAAGCGGUUCCUAUUUAUCUACUUGCACUUAGGGGUGCUUUCGAACUGCUAGGUGGGCAGGAGCUGGGACCGAAAGACGGGAGCUCACCCCGCCGCGGGGAUUCGAACCGCCGACCAUGUGAUCGGCAAGCCCUAGGCGCUGAGGUUUUAUCCACAGUGCCACCCGUCUGUAUUACAAAGAUGUCCACAAAAGUAGCAUGAAUGCUGGCAACAUUAACCCUGCUGUGUAGGAAUCCCUUGUAGACAACCACAGUGCCUGGGGACAAUCAGACUGGUCACGUAUCCACAACAGUGACCAGAGGAGGAAUGACUGCCGGAAGGAACACAGAGAGAAGAAACACGAUGGCAGAGGUGGAUUUAGGGGAGUAUAACUGGUUUAGCCAUUCUGGACACUAAGCUGAGAGGGCACCACAAAGGGCACUGCAACAAUGAUGAACAAUGGAAGGCAAGAAGCAGCAGGGGGGAAGGUGAUGAAGUUUGGCAGCGCACAAGGUGCUACUGAAAUUUUAAAGCCCAAAGUCGGCUACUGGCCAUGGUGCAUCUGUAGCAGCACAACCGGAUGCCUUCAUGUGCCCCAUCAGCAAUAAAACAUGUCUCUCUUGUAUUGGUCUCAGCAGGUACUGCAACCUUUCAACAGUUUGACUUUACCCCCCCCAAAGGCACACUCCUCUUUUAUCUUCCCAUGAAACUACCCUAUUAUAUUAGCCAUUGUUCACUGCUAUAACAGUGCAGGAAGAAAUCUAACUGGUCUGCUUGGAAUUUUUUUGGGGGAUGCUUCUUGCUGGAUUCCUGGGGUACAGUCCCAGAAUAGUUUUUUCUCUCUUCAUACCAGGGCAUAAAUCUCCCAAAGCAUUUAUUUUAAUUUUUAAAAUGUACGUUGCUUUUCAGCCAAAGCAGUUUGCAAAGCUGUGAAACGUUGCAAGGUGUCUUAAACCUUCAGGCUGACUUGAGAGGAGAGUGUAGGGGGCACAGAAUGCUUUGCCCUCUCUGCUGGGUAGCUAGUGCCAGCCUCAAGGACACUGAGGGUCGUGGGACCAAAAUUCCAGGCAACAAGUCACAGAACCAUGCCAGAAUUGAGCCUGCUUAAUAAUAAGUGCUUAUUAUUAUUAUUUUUGAAAUAUUUUCCCCUCUGCCUUUCCAUCCAGUAAUGGGAUGCUCAAGACAGCUACCAUAAGAAGUGUGAUUUCAUAAAUACAAAAACAAAAGCACUACAGUCCUCUGUGUUUGUCCUGAAGAUUGCAUGCUAAGAAGGGGAGAGGUCUCCGCAUCUUUCAGAAGGGGACCUAGCCCCUUUUCUGUUUAAUCUCCGAACAAAGAAGAAAAAGUACAAGGGCUUAUUAUGUGUACUAUAUGGGGAAGAGUCCUUAGUCUAAGUUUUCUGGGCAAUUUGGUUGUGGAUUCAGGGAGUUCAUUCUUGGAAAUUCUGUUCAUGUAUUUGUGUGUCUGCAUGAGGCGAGUGCAGGCAGCUUGCUGUUAGAGGAGGGGUAUUUAUUGACUGGGGAUAAGCAUUCUGCCUGCCAGCUGCCUGUGGAAAUAAAUCUUAUUUAAUCAAAGCUGUGAGAGGAUCUGUUGUCUUUAAUGCCAAAGAAGGCUGAUUAAAAAAGAAAGAACCUGCCUUUACCAUCUGCUCCUCUCACUGCACACCCCACAAUGAAGCUUCUCUUCCCCCCCAUCUGCCCCCAUUUGACAGGUGAUGGCUGUUUGCAACUAACAAAAAGGCACAAUAUCCUUUGUCUUGCAGGAACAUUCCAGGGGGUGGCUUGGGAAUUCCUCUCCCCUUUCCUGCUCUUCCCUCAAGAUGGCAAGUUUCCAAAUAUUUCCUGCUUUACUCCGAGGACAGACAGCCAAGGAGAUGGAAUAGAUUUUGAUUUUGUGACUGAGGAUUAGACUGAAGGCUGAAGACAACACCGGAUUAGAAUAUAGGUGCAGAAGCUUUAGAAGAAACAGGAGGGCAGGCAUAAAGGAGAAGACACUUUUGUUUAUUACAUGUUAUCUCCGGCAGAACAGAGCCUCUAAGGAAUUAGAUCAACCCUAGAAAACAAAGCAGUAAAGUUUCCUAAUAUGUCACUGGUUGUUUUUUUCCUUGCACCCUGUGGGUGCAAAUGAUAAGUUGCGUGGCUGAUCACUAGCCACGUUGGAAAAAAUAUCUGAUUAUUGCUCACAGCAGUUGUGGACCCACAUUUCAUGUGGUGAGCAUUAUGAUAAUGGCUUUUUAUGGAAGUGCUCUGCUUUGAUAAAUAGAAAAGACUGUGGCUUUGAGUGUUUGGCAGCAGAAAUGCAGGCAACAGAAGCACAACCAUGAGGAAAGUCAUGAGGUGUAGGUGCGACAAAUGAGGAACAGAAGUGCAUUUAUGGUACAAUGAACUGAUUGUGCGGAAGAGCCCAAGGCAUGAAGCUGGCAAUAUCCCUUUGAAAAGAAAUAUUUAACAAAGACAUAUAAACAUACAAUAAGUAUAUCUGCAGCCUAGUCCUAGUCACUGGAAACUUUUUUAUUUUUAGUGUUACAUAACUUCUGGGAAAUGCUCAGACUUCAGCUUGCAGAACUGGGAAGGAGGCACAGAAAACACCUUUCUAUAUUUUCAGUAUUCCGAUUUAACCCAUGGAGAUCACUAUCAAGUAAAAAACACACCUAUCAGGAAGUAAAGUUAACUGAUUUUAACAAAACUUGAUUGCUUGUAAAUGUGUUUAGGAUUACAAUGUAAGGAAGGGAUUAAUCCAUGGGUAGGCAAACUAAGGCCCGGGGCCCCAGGUCCGGCCAAAUCGCCUUCUAAAUCUGGCCUGCGGACGGUCCAGGAAUCAGUGUGUUUUUAAAUGAGUAGAAUGUGUCCUUUUAUUUAAAAUGCAUCUCUGGGUUAUUUGUGGGGCAUAGGAAUUUGUUCAUUCCCUCCCCCCAAAAAUAUAGUCCGGCCCCCCACAAGGUCUGAGGGACAGUGGACCGGCCCCCUGCUGGAAAAGUUUGCUGACCCCUUUACAUUCAUCUUCAGUAAUGGUGCAAUGCCAAUGUGUCUGUUCAAUUUUCUGAUGGGUCCAUUCAUUAUAUGGGGCUACUGACCUAAAUGACAGGUUUAUUAGGGUUAUCAUGUCAUUGCCUGGAGAUGAUAAUGUACAAAGGCACUAAAAAAAGGACAUAUUUUCUGUGCUUCACACAGAAUAUUCCCAUCCAAUAGGUUCCACUCUGGUGGGAAGGUAAACGGCAUUUCCGUGCACUGCUCUGGUUCGCCAGAAGUGGCUUAGUCAUGCUGGCCACAGGACCUAGAAAAACUGUCUGCGGAAGUGGGCAAAUGCUGGCUCCCUUGGCCUGCAAAGCGAGAUGAGCACCACAACCCCAGAGUCGUUCGUGACUGCACUUAACUGUCAGGGGUCCCUUUACCUUUACCUUUAGUAGAGAAAUGGGGCAGGAUGUGCAUGUUUAAUGGAUGUAAAGUAUUGGCACUAUCUUCUGGCAAGAUCCUGGGAAUCCUGACUGGACAUGUACCACUUAUGGCUUGGUAAUGGUGAUCCUUGUAGGUGAUCAAGAGAUUGGUGUUCCACUUAAACAUAAAACAACUUUGACUGACAGUCUCUUGGGACCUCAAGUACUAGCCACCCCAGUUUUGAAAUUAUGUCAACAGCACAUUUUAAAAUUAGGAUUGCUACCUGCUUGUCAUGCAUAAACCAUGUUAGGUUAAUGUUUUCAACAUACCAGAGAGCUCUUUAAAAGGAUGAACAGGUUUGUUGUGACGUGAACUUGUGUAAUCAGUUACGGAAUCAUUUUUAUUGUGGCAUGCGCUUCAGUUAAAUGACAUGGGCUAAAGGAAUAGAUGGCUGUGUAAAUAUAUGGGCUGUAAUCCAAGGGUGUUUCCACGGAUGGAAGUCAAUAUUUAAAUUUCACAUACUGCUGUGAUGAUGUCACAAACAUCUGCAUCAUGAAUAUUCAGAAUGAUGCAUUUUCUUGCUCCUACCAGUAACUUUGAGACUGAAAGAUUAUUCCCUAGUAAGACAGUUCCAGUGAUACAUUUUCAGUAAUACUGCUAAGUAGCAAAUGGGACCUGCAACAAAAUGAAUGUUUAUGGACAUUUCUUUUUAAAAACAGGAAUGGAGCUAUAAGAAAGGGGAAAUCACAAAGGAGGCGUAUACACAAGUAGUCAACAGUUGCAGGGUGAAGGCUGGCUAAAGCUCAGAAUGAGCUCAGGCUUGCAAGAGAAGUUAAAAAUAAUUAAAAAGGUGUCUUUGGCUAUGUCUGAAGUAAGUGGAAGAACAAGCAAGUGGUAGGUUCUCUGUGUGGGAGGAGAAAUGCUAUUGUGUGACAGAGAGAAGGCGGAACUACUCAACACCUACUUCUGGGGGGAGGGGCAUCUUCUCCCAACCCGUUUACAGCCAGUGUGGUGUAGGAUGACCUUGGGCUAGACUAGGCUUCCUCAACCUCAGCCCUCCAGAUGUUUUUGGCCUACAACUCCCAUGAUCCCUAGCUAGCAGGACCAGUGGUCAGGGAUGCUGGGAAUUGUAGUCUCAAAACAUCUGGAGGGCCAUGGUUGAGGAAGCCUGGGCUAGACACUAGCUCUCAGCUUCACGUAUUUCACAGACUUGUUGUGAGGAUAAAGUAGUGGGAUUCAGGUAUGCCAACCUGAGUUCCUUGCAUGAACAGUGGGAUAAAAAUGUACUAAAGAAUAAUAGUUGUUUGCACAUGGAAUCAGUUCCAACACAUCAGUGUACUGGAGCAGAGAUUCUGUGCCCUCAUAUCUUAUUUGUUUGUUUAAAGAUGUUCCUCAGCUGCUCUUAAUCAUAGUCAAUCCUAGAGUCCAAUGCAUAACACAAACAUUCAGUUAAAGAAAGUGAGUGUGGUGUAGUGGUUACAGAGUCCUAUUAGGACCUGGGAGACCAGGAUCCAAAUCCCCAUUCAGCCAAAAAAGCCCACUGGGUGACCUUGGUUAGUUACUAUUUCUCAGCCUAACCUACCUCUCGAGGUUGUUGUGGGGAUAAAAUGCGGAGAUGGAGACAUGUGCAUGGCACCUUAAACUCCCUGGAUAUAAGGUGGGAUGAACGUAGCAGCAGCAGCAGCAACAACAACAACAACCAUCACACACAGAACUAUUCAUCAUAAAGAAUAAUAGCACUUAAAAACCAAAGAAAGUACUACCAAACUGUGGGGUGGGUUACACAUCCUCCAUCAAAAGAUGAUAUAAUAAGUUGCAUACGUCUGGGCAAAUAAAUGAUACAUCUCUUGAUGCCAAGUGUGCUUCCAGGUGAUCUCUUGCACAGGUGAUCAGGGCAACCAUGAACUAACCCCUUUUAGCCACUGUCUUGUAGGAAUAGCUAUCUCCCUUCCUUCCUGUUGGGUCUCAUGUCACCACACUUCCUCCAUUUUCCUUUGAUUUGCUUGGCCUUGGCCUUUGAAGAGGUUCACUGUGACAGAGUUUAAAACACACAUCACUGCAUGGAUCCAGCAAAUCCAUUGCACAAGGCCAGCUUAGAAUGAAUGAAAAAUUCUGGGAGCAGAGGGUGGGAAAUAUCUCCAGCUUGGCAUGGAAUCAUUCUCAGGUGGCUACAGCAAGUUUGAACGCUCCACUAAAACUACAGAAGUCACAGCCCAAUACAUCAAAAGGGUUGUAGGUUACUUUCCGGUUUGCUGAUUAGGUAGUUUCAGGUUCUAGUUUUGUUUUUGCAUAAUCACUGUAGCUAGAGCCAAGUCAAAGCCGCCUUGAAAAUAAAGCACAGGACACAAUAGAAAUGAAACUAGAGUGCACUGCAGAUGGUGGAAAGUGGAAAACUCAUCUUUUGACCUUUGUGCGAUGCUGAGUUUCCAAUUCUCUCUGUCCGCUUGGCCCUCCAGACCCAGAGGCAGCUGCAGAUGUUUCAAAGACAAUGUGCAAUACUGAUUUAUAGGAGACAGCAUGUUCCCUUAUGUACUCCUGCCUCAGCACAAUUAUCUUUGAAUAGUAAGAAGCCCGAUUCACCUUCCAACUUUUCAUUGUUCUGUAUGGAAAUGGGAGAUGCCACUAAACAGAUGCUAUCUCUGGAACACAACAGAAAAGUCUUAGUUGAAGGGCUUUGGAAUAGGCUGAUAAGCAUCAACCACUGAGUGAUCCAAGCCUCUGCAAUCUUAAUUCAUAUUCUUGCUCAUUUGUUGUUGCUAAACAUAUUUAGCAGAAAAAGAGCAGAUUUCAUGUAGGCCUGGGAUAAGCAACUUGGUACCCUCCAGGUGUUGUGAACUACAACUUCCACCAGUCCCAACCAGGAUGGGCAGUGGUCAGGGAUGAUGGGAGCUGCAGCCCACAUCAUCUGGAGCAGACUUUCUCAACCAUGGGUGCCCAGGUGUUGUUGGACUACAACUCCCAUCAUCCCUAACUAGCAGGACCGGUGGUUAGGGAUGAUGGAGGGUUGUAGUCCAAUAACAUCUGGGGACCCAAGGUUGAGAAAGGCUGAUCUGGGGGGUACUAUUUUAGCUACCCUGAUGCUCCUACCUGUGCCUAUAGUAUGACAUCAGGUGUGGUGUCUGUGGGUUUGAGGACUCAUGGUCUGAGAUCGGGCCCCUAUUUGGCUUAACUGGGCUCACAGGCUGGAGAUUCCCCACCAGUGGUCUAAAGGCAUAUGAUGCAGUAACCCUGACAGUGCUAAGCAGGUGAGCACCUGGUCAUUUCCUGGAUGAAAGCCUAAUAUAUGCUGUUUCAAGUUUAAUUGUGGGAAAAUGUGGAGUAUGAUAGAAAGAAGAUUCUAUCUGCAUUCUAAUCACACACUUUUCCUGACAUUUAUUGGCCUUAUGCUUCAGUUGAAAUGGGAAAUUAUUACUAAUACUUUUUUUGUCACUUUGGGCUAGAUUUGUACACAACAGGAUCUCUCAGUUACAUAUGCUUUGAAAAUAUAUAUUCAUAUGCUAUUGUUUUGUUUCUGAAUAGGCCAAAACCUGUUUCCCCGAGUUCAGAAAACGAUGUCUGCAUUAAAGUCACUGUUCUUUGUAGGCUCUCUGCGGCAUUUCCCAGCGUGCCUCCUGCGCAGGUGGGCAGAAUUAUUUGCUCCCAGCCCAGAACAAUUCUGCUUGCUGCUUUGUGAGCAGCACAACAUUUUGUCACACGCUUUUGAAAAUGUGUUUUUCGCAUGACCCCAGUUGGUGAGGAGUAAACUUUGUCCCUAGAUGCGUGUGAUGCUGUAGUUUUAAUGUCAACAUCAAGGUCAUUUUUUAUGUUUAAGUGUAGCCUUCGUUUCAUGUCAAAGCAAAAUUAUUUUUCUUAAUAAUGUGGGAGGGGCUCUGGGGAGGGAGACAGGCAUCCCUUUGUAUAAAGUCACACACACACUGCCUUCCUCCCCUCCCCCUCCCCUCCGCUGUUUACAUUGACAUGGUAAUGUCUGGAAUGCAGCUAUUUCCUCUUCUGUUCCCAAUACAAUGCAAGGGGACAAAAGGCAGCAAUUUGCUCACCUCAGGUCAAAGACUAACUCUCAUGCCCUUCCCUGAACACCAUGAGUCCCUGCUGUAUAUUCCUUCUCACUAUCCCAUUAUCUCAGCAGGGGGGGUGGAGAGAGCCAUUCCUUCUCAUCAGGAGACCUGCUCUAACAUCAGUCCCUUUGGUAUGAAAAAGCUUUUCUCUCACGCACCCCUUAUGCCCUAAUUUCCAACAGACCCUUCUGUUCACAGACCCUUCUGUUUGGACCCCUCUCUGCAGAGAGGUGGAUUGUUGGUAGGUAAGGAGAGCUUUGGAAACUGAAAAGCUGGCCCUGGGGUUUAUUACACCAAAACCCACAGGGAAAAACAUCCCUCGGACUCCUAGUCUGAUGAGAGGACCAUACAGGAGAAUUUAAGGAAGCAUCCCUGAGUUUGGGAACCCACAAAACCUUCUCCCAGAUUUGUCCUUGAAGUUGACCCUUCUCUUGGUGGAUUUAGUAAAAAAAAAUCCAUAUUAAAAGCCCCCCACCAGUCCUUCCUAAUUAAUAUGUCCUUUAGUUUUUUAUUCUUUUUGUAAGCCAGCAUGAGAAUAUGGUUGAAGCAUGCUAUAAAAAUACUUCUUUUAAAAAGUACUACAGCAACAGAAGGAACAAACCAAACAGAAAAACCUUCCAGAUUCAUAUGUACGCAAAGACUGGUUCAAAUAUGUAGUACACCAAUGGUCCAAAAUUUGAUGUAGGUUAAAUGUUUCACAUACAGUAUAUCCCAUACCACCUACAGUAUUUAAAUGUGUGAAUUUUCAUCUAGGUUGUUUUGGAGACUGUUUGAAUCAUCCAGCCCCCACCAAAAGUUGUUGUAAACUACAGUCACACUAAGACACCACAGCAAUUUCCUUCACAUGGCAAGUGGUUUCUGGAUUCUACCUCAGCCCAUGAAUUUUCUUUGAUUUUCAUGUGACGUUUUCAGGGUAGCUUUCUUCUUCCUAGUAGAACCAACCUGAACCUGACUGAAUCUAAAAUGCAUCUCUCAGACUAAUCUUGCUCUAAUCAUUUCCCUCCACUCAUUUCCCCUUGAGUAUCUAGUUUCUAAAAGUAUAAGCCUAAGAGCAGGGUUUAUCUAGAUCUUAAUUUUGCUGAACUAUAUAAACAUUACAUUAAAUGCGGGGCUGGGUCUUGCACUUUUAUUUUACCUUUAAAUAGCUGCUGUACCUGCCCCCAAUCAGGAUUGGGGCUGCAAUGUGUCUGGAGGGUUUUUUUGUUUUUGUUCUUUUAAAAUGCCUUAUAUCUUCACUGUGGUACCCCGAUGAAAACGUUACACACACUCACCCUUGAGCUGUAUUUCUGUGCAGAGGGGAAAUGUCAUCAGCACCAGUGGCAACUUCCCUUCCAGUGCAGAUGGAUCUUUCAAUGGGUGCAGGGGUAAAGGGUUUUAAAAAACCAACCCUCCACCAAUGCAAUGGCCCCAAUCCUGCUUAAGACCUCUUGUGAAUGCUAUUAAAGGGGGGGGGAAUAAACAUGAAAGCCAAACCAUGCAUGAUCAUAAUCUGCAGUUUGACUAAUUCCUGGAUAUAUUCUAGAAAGAACCACCACAUGGAGAUGAACACUCAUUCAUGGGAAUAUCUGCAGAAGAAUGGCAUAUCUUGCAGAGGCAGCCAGUAGGUUUCAAAGAGUAAUAAUAAUAAUAAUAAUAAUUUAAUAUUUGUACCCCACCUAUCUGGCUGGCUUUCCCUAGCCACUCUGGGCGGCUUCCAACGAAGAUUAAAAAUACAUUAAAAUGUCACACAUUAAAAAAUUCCCUAAACAUGGUUGCCUUCAGAUGUUUUCUAAAUGUCAGGUAGUUGUUUAUCUCUUUGACAUCUGAUGGGAAGGCAUUCCACAGGGAGGGUGCCACUACCGAGAAGGCCCUCUGCCUGGUUCCCUGUAGCUGGCAAGCUGGCAAAUCUGCCUUAGGGGUAUUUAACAAUAUCCUUCAGCUAUAAACUGCAUGGACCAUUGCAAUUGACUUUUUUUGCUUCAGAGGGUGUAGAGCCUGUGUGUGUGUGUGUGUGUGUGUGUGUGUGUGUGUGUGUACGUCUCACUCUGUUCCCUUUGCUCAAGAAGGUGUGACAGUGCUGUGUGGCUAAGCAGGUGAGUCUUUCUACAGUCUUUUUACAACCAAAGCACUAUUAGAAGCACAGGAGCACAGGAAGCUGCCAUAUACUGAGCCAGACUGGUCCAUCUAGUUCACCUGCAGUGACCCUCCAGGCUUUUAGGCAGAGGACAUUCCCAGCCCCACCUGGAAAUACUGGGAAUUGAGCCUGGGACAUUCUACAUACAGACUGCAGAGCAGGGAAAUAAUGUGAAUCUGUGUCGAUGUGCCUAAUACUCUGCCCAGGGAGGCUUGUCUGGUACCUUCAUUCCAUAUCUUUUAGGUGCCAGACAAAAAUGUUUCUAUGUAACCAGGCCUUGCUGCAAAACUGCUGCAAAACUUUGGAACAGAUUUGGAGUGAAUGUUGGGUUUUGGAGUUAUAGCUAAGACCCUCCUUUUGAGUAUCAACUACUCAGUUUGUGGGGUGCUGUAAAAUGUGCGGUUUCCGCUGCAAAACACAGCAAAACCAUUGCCAUUUUGGCACAGGUUUGAAGUGAUUUGGACACUGUUGGAUUUUUGGGUUUUUGCUGCAUAACAACUGCGAAACAUUCACACAGAUUUGGAGAGGAUCCAAAUUGUUGGGGUUCAUAGUUAAUUAUCUUGGCCGAUUAAACAACCAAUGGCCUUUUACAUGUGUUUGUGGGAGAGCGGUUAUUUGUUUCUGUUUUUUGUAUUUUAUGUCUUUAUUUUGUAUUUUUAUGUUGUGAAACACCCUGCGAUCUUCGGAUGAAGGGUGGUAUACAAAUUUAAUUAACAACAACAACAACAACUGAUGAUCAGACAUAGGCUCACCCACAAAAUAAAUCAGUGCACACAUAGUAACAAUUCAUCUUAGAAAUGAAGAAAAUCUCCAAGGAGAUAAUCAAAGGUGCUCCAUUCUUUUUUUAAAGAAAGUUCAAUUUUCUGCAGUGCAAAAAGAGAGAGAUAAGAACCUUAGAAGAAACAACAGACACAGGGAAGUGUAGUGGUUUGAGUGUUGGACUAAGACCCAGAAGACAAGGGUUCAAAUCUCUACUCAGCCAUGAAGCUCACUGGGUAAAAGACUUACCUACCUCACAGGGUUGUUAUGGGGAUAAAAUUUAGAAGGGGGAAGCCACCUUGAACUCCAUGGAGGAAAUGUAGGGUAUAAAUGUAAUAAUAAAUACAAAUGGGGAAGACAAUGCAUUUAAGAGGAAGCUUUGUAAAUGCCCAGUGAAAAUGGACAGUGGCUCUUAGACUGUCUUGCUAACAAUACAGUGGUGCCCCGCAAGACGAAUGCCUUGCAAGACGAAAAACUCGCUAGACGAAAGAGUUUUUCAUUUUUUGAGUCGUUCCGCAAGACGAAUUUCCCUAUGGGCUUGCUUCGCAAGACGAAACGUCUUGCGAGUUCUUGCGAGUUUGUUUCCUUUUUCUUAAAGCCGCUAAGCCGUUAAUAGCUGUGCUUUGCAAGACGAAAAAACCGCAAGACGAAGAGGCUCGCGGAACGGAUUAAUUUCGUCUUGCGAGGCACCACUGUAUGGGAAAAGAAAUCUAUAGAGAUCCCUGAGCACAAUUCAAGUGAGGUAAAAUGCAGGGAGACCAAGGGCUUACAAAGUGUUAGAGCCUGCACCAUAAGUGGAAACAAUCGUGUAGUAGACAUAUAACAAGUAGGCGAGUAUGAUAAAAUACCAGUAAAUGAUGGCUUGGGUUGUUUAAUGGUGCUUCUGGUUUCUGUCAGACCAAUUCUCAAGACUUUAGAACUGGAGGUGAAGAAAGGUCUCACACUAGGAAGCCAUGCAUUAUCAUCCAAAGCAUCAAGAAGAGAUUGUGGGACAAAUCACAAGUCUGAGACCACCAAUUCAUUCAUGUUAUCUCCUGUGCCUUUUCUUGGCUUCUGAACUCAGCCUUCUGGCAAGAGUAUUACUGUUAGCCACUUUGAGUGAGAUUUUGUUACUUUAAAAACCUCUUCAUACUGAUUCAUUUCAGAAAAAACAAUCAGCAUUUCUGAUUAGAGUUUGACGUAGGUGGGGGGAAUUCAAGAGUAGCUUUUGCUUAUAAAUGGAGGAACAAUUUACUUUCCAAAUUGCUUGCAGCCUCAGCUGUUGCUGCCUUCUAGUCAGAACAAUAAUUAAAAGCUAAGUAAAAGGAAUAUGUUUUUAAGACUAACUACUAAAUGGCUGGCUUUAAAUAACAGUAAUGAUAAAUAAUAAAAUUCAAUCCUACUGUUGUCCUUUCUUACAUAAAACCACCGGAAUGAACAGAAACCUUCUUAAACACUCCUCAGUUAUGUACAUCUAUACACACAUAUGGUUCCCCCAGGUGCUCAAACUUGGUAAAAAUAUCUACCAAGUGAAUCAUCUAAAAUAUUUGGCAAGGAAAACAUGAAUCAGCAAAACAACUGUGAUCAACCUACAGAUUUUUCUUGUUACUUUGAAAGCAAUUGUCCCGCAAACCUUCCCCAUGCUCCUUCCUAGUAUGCCUGAAAGUGCAACCUAAGCGCAUACUUUGGAUGACACAUUUUGGCACAGGGCAAAAGCACAGGUCUCUUGCUGCCGCUGUGGCUCUUCUAGCAGUGUAACCAGAAGCAUUUCUACAUUUGAAGUAGAAACAGGCAGUUAUCUGCCUCGACAGACAGAACCCGUUGCAAGACAAAAGUCUUGUCUAUAGACAGCACCUACAGGGUUCAUAUGGCCCCUCCAUGUGUUGAAAGAUGCAUGGGGAGGUGGGUGCGCUGCCACCAAUACACACAGAAGUCAGUUCUGCAGUCAUUCCUGCAUUCAGCUGGAUUGUAAAGGGGCUCUGCUUACAUGCUGAUGUAUUUACGGGACCGCCUCUCCUGGUAUGCCCCGCAGAGGACCUUAAGGUCCAUUAAUAACCAUAGUUUAGAGGUCCUGCGCCCUAAGGAAGUCAGACUAUCCUCCACCAGGGCCAGGGCCUUUUCAGUGAUGGCUCUGACCUGGUGGAAUGCUCUGUCCCAUGAGACUAGGGCCCUUCAGGAUUUAACUUGCUUCCACCGGGCCUGUAAGACAGAGCUAUUCCACCUGGCCUUUCAUUUGAAUUCAGCCUGAUCUUUUAUUUCCCUUCUCUUCCCUCCCCAUCCCCUUUUAUGAAGAUUACCCACUCUGAGACCCCACAGCUAAUUCUCCCCUGGCCUCCUCGCUGGCCCAAGUAGGACCAAUUCAGCUAGCCCUGGGGAUUAUCUAAUGCUUAUUGGAUGGAUUUACCCUAAAUUGAUUUCUGAACUUUGAAUUUUAUUGUUAUUCAUGUUUUUAUACUGUAUUUUAUGCUGCUUUUACAAUUAAGUGUUUUAAAUUUGUUGUUAGCCACCCUGAGCCCAGUUUUUGAACCGGGAAGGGUGGGGUAUUAAUAAUAAUAAUAAUAAUAAUAAUAAUAAUAAUAUGAUGUGGGCCACAUUAACCACGAACCCCAAACUUUGGGCUCCAAACGGGUGCCAAGAUUUUGCAGGAGGUUUUUUUGCAGCAUUUUGCAGUGAAAACGCCACAUUUUGCAGCGAAAACGCCACAUUUUUCACUGCCCGACAAACUGAGCAAUUGAUACAUCAAACACAGGGCUGGUAUUUAAUAGUAACUAUGAACCCCCAAAUCUAGGAUUCUCUCCAAACCAGUAUUAAGUACAAACCCCGAGUUUGAUGUAUCAGUUGCUCAGUUCAUGGGGUGCUGCAAAUCACUGCAAAAUUUUGGCACAGGUUUGUAGAGCACCCCAAGUUUAGAGGUUGUAGUUAAUUUUCCUACUGAUGUCUAUGAAGAGGGGCCCAGACUGGGCCAAAUUUCAUGUUGCUGUUCCGGAGAACUGCCAGAACAAAAGAAUGGAUAUAUGGGGGGGGGGCAUUCUCACCAGCACUGUCAUACAAUAUAGUCUAACUCUGCAUCUAUAUUUUGGGAGGUGUUGAAUAUUAAUGUACAGGAUGAAGAGUUAAGAAGUCUAGUCUGUUUCAGAGGAAAAACAUAAGUAGCACAGCACAUUACAGACUACAAGGACAGAACAUCAUUUCUGAUUACCUGUCAAAGGCUCCCUUGCACAAAAACAAUGCACAUGUGCACAAGAUCAUCUGCUCCCUCUUUAGUGAUCUGUAGGAUUAAAAAAGCAAACAAGGUACCCCUGCCUGUACGGGCCAGUCUUGCCACACUCUAGGGUUGUGCGCUCAUCUCACUUAAGUGGCCGGGAGCCAGUGCUGUCCGCAGACACUUCCGGGUCACGUGGCCAGCGUGACAAGCUGCAUCUGGCGAGCCAGCGCAGCACACGGAACGCCGUUUACCUUCCCACUAGUAGCGGUCCCUAUUUAUCUACUUGCACCCGGGGGUGCUUUCGAACUGCUAGGUUGGCAGGCGCUGGGACCGAACGACGGGAGCUCACCCCGCCGCGGGGAUUCGAACCGCCGACCAUGCGAUCGGCAAGUCCUAGGCGCUGAGGUUUUACCCACAGUGCCACCCGCGUCCCCCCAAACAAACCAGAGCUCUAAAAUGCCCACUUCAGAGUGUCUCUUAACAGAAAGAAGUACCUUAUUUCUUGCAUACUUCUGGAAACAAUAUAUACAGUGGUACUUUGGGUUACAUACGCUUCAGGUUACAGACUCCGCUAACCCAGAAAUAUUACCUCGGGUUAAGAACUUUGCUUCGGGAUGAGAACAGAAAUCGUGCUUCGGCAGUGCGGCGGCAGUGGGAGGCCCCAUUAGCUAAAGUGGUGCUUCAGGUUAAGAACAGUUUCAGGUUAAGAACGGACCUCCGGAACGAAUUAAAUUCUUAACCUGAGGUACCACUGUACUGGAAUUAACAGCAUCUGAGCAAAUACAGAAAAUGUGGUUCCGAGAUAACCCAAAGGCUUAUUCUGCAUAACAAAAUAAAUUGCUACUGGACUGCUGUCACCAGAGCUGCAUGUCAGGACCCCCCCCCCCAAAUGAUUUGAGAACACCCAAACACAUUACUUGGAAGCUAGCUCCAUCCAUCUGCAUUAUUCCUAUUUCACCACGUUUUCAGGACCAAGGUUUGAAUUUUGGAAAGCUGCCUCCUUGUUUCUGAAUGCCUGAGGAUUGGCAAAAUCGCCAUGUGGAGCACUCCCUAGGACAAACAAAAGCUCCUGUAUUUUGUGAAUAGCUUACAGCCUAACAAAAGAUGCCAAGAAACUGCUCAGAUUACUUCUCAGGGCAUUAAAAAAACAAAACAAAAAACCUCUGGGCACAGAGGAAUGUAGCUGGCACUCGACCCUCCUGCUGUUUUCAAGGGCACUGACAUCUGAAUUUGAAAUAAGCCUCUUCUUGUCUUUAAAUUGUUUUCCCCGAGACACGCAUGGGCACAGAGCUGCCCAGACAUAUAGCUGCUACCAUCUGCAAGGACUCUGGAACAGCAGAUGGUCAGAGGGAUGACAGUGUGAGGCAGAGAGAAAGAAAGAAGGGGCAGGUGCAGGCAAAAUUGCUAAUUAGAUAUGGAACAUUAAGUUUCCAUUCAGCACCUUAAACAAAAAAUAAAAUAAAACUACCCACAGAGCUUAGAUAAACCAAAUUCUCUGGGAGAGAUUGUAGCUCCCCAAGAAGAAAGGAGAGUUUUUUUCUUGGGCAGGAAAUAAUUUUUAAAACUGAGAAAAGAAUUUUUUGGAUUUACUCUGUAUUUUGAGCUGCAGACAAAGGAUUCAGGUAGACAGAAGCUUAUGAAUAGGAAAGACUGGCCCCAAAACGUCUUGAAAGACAGCAGUCCUCAAAAUACAAAGUCCAAAAUUCAUAGGAACAACUAAUUCUCAUUCCAGUUAUCUCUUUUAAACAUGUUCCAUCCUCUCCCAGUCAUUUUAUUGCAUAUUCUAACUGUACAUUUCUUUUUCAAAAAAUCAUUUAGAAAUUCAAAGGUUUACAAAUUUAAUACACAUUAUAUACUUUCUAUUUAAUAUUAGUUUACCAUUUGACUUCCCCUCCACCCCUCCAUGGUUUCCCCAUAUUCUCUAAUAUUGCUGCAUAUUAUAAUUACUCUAUGCUUUAUCCUUUCUGCUUAUUCUCAGAUACAUAUUUUACUGCUGUUCUUCAUUCAAAUCCUACUUGCAAUUUUGCAUGUUUACAAUAGUGCUUUAGAUAUUCCCCAAAUAUCUUCCAAUCCUCCUUAAAAUCUUCUUCUUCUUGAUCUCUAAUUUUCAUAGCUACAUUUGCCAAUUUGGCAUAUUUCGUCAAUUUUAAUUGCAUCUCUUCUUUUGUAGGUACCACUUCCUCUCGCCAUUUCGCGCACAUAGUACCUUUGCUGAUGCCGUUGCAUAUAAAAAUAAGUUCAUUUAAAUAUUUAAAUAUUUUCUUUACCUCAUUAUAGACCAGGCAUAGGCAACCUUUGGCCCUCCAGAUGUUUUGGACUACAGUUCCCAUCAUCCCUGACCACUGGUCCUGUUAGCUAGGGAUCAUGGGAGUUGUAGGCCAAAACAUCUGGAGGGCCAAAGGUUGCCUAUGCCUGUUAUAGACCAUCACCCCAAAAUCCUUAGCCACUCUACAUGUCCACCACAUAUGGUAAAAUGUACCUUCUACUUCUUUACAUUUCUAACUGAUACCUGACUCAGAUUUAUACAAUUUUGCUCAUUUGCUUUGUGUCAGAUGCCAUCUAUGAAUCAUUUUCAUAAAAUUUUCUUUCAGAGGAUAACACGCUGGGAAUUUCAGAUUUGAUUUCCACAAUUUUCCCCACGACUCCAUCUUGAUAUUAUGUCCCACAUCUCUAGCCCAGUGACUCAAAGCAGAUUUAACCAUUUCAUCUUUGGUUUGCCAUUCCAACAAAAUCAUAUACAUCCAUGAGAUUAUUCUCUCCCCCCUAUUCUCUGUUAGCUCCUUUUCAAACUGAGAGCUUUGGUUAAUAAAACCACACUGCUUAUCUUGUUAUUCUGACUUUAUGCUUCUGCCAUUAACACAGAGGAAAAACAUGCAGAAUUAACAAUAGCAAUAUAGAGUCAGCAGUAUGAUUCCUGCAUCCUGCUUGUGGGAAGCAUCUCCUAAGGCAGUGAAAUUUUACACGUGUGUGUGUGUGUGUGUGUGUGUGUGUGUAACUGUGUGUAACCUAGUGAAUUUUGAGUGGAUGAAAUGUAACUAUGUAGCCUAAUGUACAAAGCAGAGCUGGCUUAGGACGUUUUGCUGCUUGAGGUUAAACAGAAAAUGGCUUACUGCCGCUAAAGUUGCCCCCAUCAAAGUUGUCGCGGGAGAAAAAAGAAAGCUGGAGAGGAGUAGGCAGUGGCAACAGUGGAGGAGGAGGAGCAAGCAGUGGUAGUGUUGGAAGAAGAGUUUGGAUUUGCUAUCCCGCUUUAUCACUACCUGAAGGAGUCUCAAAGCGGCUAACAUUCUCCUUUCCCUUCCUCCCCCACAACAAAAACUCUGUGAGGUGAGUGGGGCUGAGAGACUUCAAAGAAGUGUGACUAGCCCAAGAUCACCCAGCAGCUGCAUGUGGAGGAGCGGAGACACGAACCCGGUUCACCAGAUUACGAGUCUACCGCUCUUAACCACUACACUACACUGGCAUGCUCCUCAGAUCUGCCACCUCUCUCGCUGUCUCCCAAUCUGCCACCUGAGGCAACUGCCUCACAACACCUCCUCCCCGACCAUUUAUUAAAUUUGUAUAUCACCCUUCAUCCAAAUACCUCAGGGCGGUUUACAGCAAAAAAAAAAAUACAAAUUAAAAACACAAAAUACACAAUAAAACCAAGAAUAUACCAAACCAAUAAAUGCCUCCCCUACCACAUGGGUGGGCCGGCCCUGAUACAAAGCCAUAUCCAUUGCUCCACUCGCUGCUUUCUCUCUGGAGUGUGGCUCUUGGUCUGAAAGAGGUUCCCACAUGCCUGACAUAUAGGAUUCCUAUGAAAGAGUAAACUCUUGGUUUGACUUGUGAAUUCUAGUCUUUGUCCUUUCCAAAUGCUUCAGUGCCCUUUGGGGUGCCAUCUGUAUUAACCUGUAAAAUUAUGGCAUAAUGAACAACAGCAGCAGCAGGCAGGAAACUUGUGUCCCCUCCCUCGCCCCACUCCCAACACCCAGGCAUGCAGAGACUGAGAAAAUUAGCCAAUUGAGGUCACAAGAGACCUUGAAUACUAUAGUUGCUGCUUCUCCCUCUGAAUAAAAAGAAUGUUUUGGGUUCUGAAAGCAACCACCUGUGGGGGAAUGAGAGUUUCCUAGCUUCUAGCCAUGCCUUCUUCACCUCUGCAAGCCAGCCUUGCAUUUUCUUUCUGAAUGAGAGUUUCAUAAAUGCAGUUGUUCUAUUCUUGGCGUACUGUUUAAUUCAUGAACGCUCUUAACCAUCUGUCACAUUGAUCUCCUUCCUUUCACCUGCAGCUAGGCUAACAUUCUUCCGUACAAGAAUGAAAAGAUUACCAAUUCAGCUUUUCUAAGCAAGCAAGCAUACAACUGCAUCAUCCUAAAAAAUGGAAGCAAAUUCGUCCCAAGUAAGAAAUUUAUUGGUUGGACAGGGUUCUCAAAACUACCAACAUGAGUCUGACCAAACUGCGGGAGGCAGUGGAAGACAGGAGUGCCUGGUGUGCUCUGGUCCAUGGGGUCACAAAGAGUCGGACAUGACUGAACGACUGAACAACAAGAAAUUUCUCUUCUCAGUGUAGAAUACUGUGCUGGGCCCAGGGGUUAACCCACGCAACGCGAUCCAUGUCUGGUCCCGAAUCCAAGGAUUCUAUGAGGAGUCAGUCCAACAGGGCCAAGGCAGGAAACCAGGCUAGGUCAGGCACAGGGUAACAGGCAGGUUCCAGCAAGCAGCAAUGUUGCUCCCGCAACCUGGGGUGGGGUCAGGCAGCCUUUUAUCUCUGACGGGGUAACGGCCGGUCCUGAUCCCCUGGUGACUCACCUCCCUGUCUCACCCAAAGGCGAGCACUCCUCUUGUGGUUACUCAGGUCUCUCCUUCUUUCAGACCUGAGUCUCUGCAGCUCGGAAGAUGUCAGUGGGUUAUUAGACCCAGAGGCCGCCUCAUCCUCUCCUGACCCAACUGGUAGUGGAGCAGCUGCACGUGAUUGCCCAGCAGAGGGCAAUGAGGUAAUCCCCGCAUCUGGAGCCAGGGCAGGCUCAGGCCCCUGACUCCGCUCAGCUGGUGCUUGUUGCAGCGGAACCUGUGCAGACUGGGGCUGUUCAGAAUCAGGCCCCAGACUCGGUUCAUCUGCUGCCUGAGGCAGAGGAUCUGGUGUGGAUGAAGACUCCUCCGGUUCCGAGUCCGAACCGAAGUCCCAGGCCAUCACAAAUGCCUACCAAAUACAAGCAUCUUCACUGCAGGCCUAGGUAUGAGAUGUGGACUGACUCAGCACCUGAACCGCUGUGCAGCUGUAUAAUGGGCAUGCAUAAAUACCACCUUAUAUUGAAAACCUACAUAUCUGUAUGCUUCCAUUCAAAACACACCACAAAAUCCAUUAUCUACAGCAGAGGUGGCUAACCCAUAACCUGAAGGCUACAUAUGGCCCUCAGUAUGUUUUUACUGCCCCCCAAACCUUCCAAACUGGUAGAAAUAAAGUAACAGAAUAAAUAGUUUAAAUAUUUGUUUGAUGAACCCAUGGGAUCCCCACUGUGCUCCUGAUGCCAAAAGGUGUUUUUGUUGUUGCCCCCUCUCAACUUCAUCCAUUAAAAAUUAUUGUUGUUGUUAUUAUUAUUAUUUACUAAUUGCUCUCAUAGGUACCCCAUUGUGAUACCACAAGGCCCCUUCACAAUUUUUAAACUGACCUCUAUCAUGGGUUCCCUAUCGUAAUGGCAAACAUUUUUUGACCUCUUGGCGGCCAUCUUCUUUUUGAGACUGCUACUCUUGACCUCCAAAAUGUAUCCUUUAAAAACUUUGUGUCAAUAUCUAUAUCUUGAAUGUGUAGCAGGACAGACUGCAGAUUGUAUACACUCUUUCUAUCUAUUCAGUUGAUUUCUGCUUUUUAUUCCAUGUCCUCAGCGGCGUAGCGUGGGUUGUCAGCACCUGGGGCAAGGCAAGUAAUUUGCGCCCCCUAACCCGGGGCAAGGCAAGUAAUUUGCGCCCCCUAACCCGGGGCAAGGCAAGUAAUUUGUGCCCCCUAACCCGGGGCAAGGCAAGUAAUUUGCGCCCCCUAACCCGGGGCAAGGCAAGUAAUUUGCGCCCCUAACCCGGGGCAAGGCAAGUAAUUUGCGCCCCCUAACCCGGGGCAAGGCAAGUAAUUUGCGCCCCCUAGCCCCUAACCUGCCGCUGCUGCCAGCUUCUUCUUGCUGCUGCCUGGUCUGGUCUGGUGUGGUUCUCUCCCCCGCUCAGCGCUGCGCUGGGCGGCUGCUGCACUGUCCCUCCCCCAGAUAGUCCCUCGCUGUCUCUCCGCACCGCACGCCUGGCACCCACCCCCUCCACAGUGGGCGGCGACCCAGCGGCUCGGAUCGGAUUCGCACAGCCUGCACUGCAGUGAGAGAGAGUGAGUGAGCCAGGUAGGGGCAGAGAGCUGCGAGUGCGAGCGCCCCCCCCGAUGUUGCGCCCGGUGCGGCAGGCCCCCCCGCACCCCCCACGCUAUGCCACUGCAUGUCCUAGUGUUGAAUUUUGAAUUCCUAGCACUUAUAACUAGCUGUGGUGAUACCAGAACAUAUUUUGCCCAGAUCUCCAACAUGGCUUCCACAUUGCAGACUCAGUUCCAUCAUUUACUUCUUUGCCUUCAAAGCAGAACCAUCUGAUUGUCUGACCAUCUGCCUAGCUAGAAGAAGAAUAGUGUGUGUGUGUAGACUGGAAUCCAUUAGAAAAUGUUUAAUUAAAGCUGGUCCUAAGCGUCAAUGGGACGCGGGUGGCGCUGUGGUAAAACCUCAGUGCCUAGGACUUGCCGAUCGUAUGGUCGGCGGUUCGAAUCCCCGCGGCGGGGUGAGCUCCCGUCUUUCAGUCCCAGCUCCUGCCCACCUAGCAGUUCGAAAGCACCCCUAAGUGCAAGUAGAUAAAUAGGGACCGCUUACUGGCGGGAAGGUAAACAGCAUUUCUGUGUGCUGCGCUGGUGCUGGCUUGCCAGAGCAGCUUCGUCACGCUGGCCACGUGACCCGGAAGUGUCUGCAGACAGCGCUGGCUCCCGGCCACUUAAGUGAGAUGAGCGCACAACCCUAGAGUCGGACACGACUGGCCCAUACGGGCAGGGGUACCUUUACCUUUACCUUUAAGCGUCAAUAAUGUUAAAAGGAAGUAGAAGCAGUUGCUGCCCUUUAUGGGUUUUCUUUUUAAAUAAUGAUUUCUCCCACAGUUUUUAAAGUAACCAGAUGUCAAACCAUUUAAGGGAUCAAUUAGGACAGAAACCAAAGUGGAUUGCAAAGCUUGGCUCUUAUGAGCAUCUUCUGUGACACACAGUAUAACUAUUUGAACUAGUUUUCCCUGUCAUCUUCGUAUCAGCAUUACUCUGGCUAGACAUAAGGACAGAGAUGAGAUGAGUAGGUUAGCAAAACAUUCAAGAACCGAAUUCACCCUGAUUUCUGAACCUUGUUUUCUUUUCACAGGUCUUCACCCAAAUAGUUUAUCCUCCCCACAUCCGAAGGCUUGUUUAUUACAUGAAAUCAUCACUUUGUGAAAAGUAUCGGGUAAGCAAAAAGGAGACAUUCAAAAUUUGUAGUCCUGUUGGACAGCUUAAAUAACUUCUUUGGUGGAAAGAAUGUUCUGCUCCUGCUCUGAAAUGAACAUCUUUAGCGGUUUAGCAACAAUUUGGCUAGUAAACGUAUCCAAAAUAUCAAUACGAUAUUACCCUGUGUAAAAAAAUACCACAAGCCGGUGAGAUCAUAAGGGGCUUUCAGAAGGAAUUUUUAUAGCAGACUCAUGCCAAGAUUUAACUUUUUUCCUAGAAGCUUUGGCAUGUCCUAGAAAACAGUCAAAAGCAGAAAAAUAUAAGAACUCUGAUGACUGCAUCUGGAGGAAAUUUACAUUCUGGUUCAGAACUUACUUAAGCCAAAGCAUUUGGAUUUAAGCUGAUGCACAGUCUAUAGUCUAAGUCUAUAUCUGUUUACUCAGAAUAGACAUGGUUAGGAUGGUGCUGUAUGCACCACUUUGCUCAGUAAAAUGUGGUAAGCACAAGUCUAAGCUUCAGUCUCAACAUUUUGAUUAUAACUCUGGUUCAGUCUGUGUAGAGACUGAUAAAAGUAAUGCAAAAUAAAUCACAGGAAAAUGCAGGAACAGUAACACUGGCAAUUUGUUGUUGUUUCGUCCUUUAGUCGGGUCCGACUCUUCGUGACCCCAUGGACCAGAGCACGCCAGGCACUCCUGUCUUCCACUGCCUCCCGCAGUUUACUCAAACUCAUGCUGGUAGCUUCGAGAACACUGUCCAACCAUCUUGUCCUCUGCUGUCCCCUUCUCCUUGUGCCCUCCAGGAGCACCAUAACAGACCAAAUGAAUCAGGUUUGACGCAUAUUCAGCAUCUCCUCUGAAUCACGUUCUGUAGUUUCUCUGACACUUGAUUGCAGCCUUUACCCAGAACUCACAAAAGCAGAUGUUUCUCUGAAGGUUUGUGUGAGAGAAGACAAAACAUGGAAGAGCUUUCCUUUUUGUUCACGUAUUUCUUGCAGCUUAUUUUAUCAGUGACCACAGUAAAUAGCAUCAUGUUAGAAGGCUGAUAAUUCAAGGGCAGUGAGAAGACGGACAGUGCCUGCAACAUUCCUUUGAAGUGUGUGCAUGAAGUCUCAAAAAGAGGGGAAAAGAAAAGAAAUUACACUCCUCUAUUUGACUCCUUUUGUGUCUGCAGAUGAUGCAUACAUACGUACGUAAUUUUAUUUGCAUGCCACAUUCUCAUAGCUCAAAUCACGCUCGAGGAGUCUUACAACAUGAAAAAACCACAUAAUUACAACAUAACAAAAGAAAUAAUAUGCAAUAAACAAAACAUUAAAAGCUACACAACCAAAAUGAAUAAUUUCUACAUCAGAGUCAAUCAGGACCCCACACUCCCAGGCCAUGUGGGAAAAGGCCUGCAGGUCUUCCAGGACACACAGCCAAGAUGGUCUCUGUCUCAAGAUGAUGGGCUAGGUGAUUUAACUGUCCAGUAUUCUAUCUGGGAGUGCAAAGUAAGAUGGAGUGGAAGAUGACUCCUUGCAUUGUGGUUCUGCUGGUUUUUGCAGUUUUGUUAAAUAUUCCACUGGUGGAACUUGAAUAAUCUCCCUAGGGAAGACAAGUCCAUAGCCAAAUGUCUUACUGCCAGGAUGCUGUCUUUGCUUGUCAUCAUCUAGAAGCAUUUGCACUCUAUUCAUAGCUGUAAUGACACAAAUCUAGCUCCCACCAUAAUAGCCUAAGGGCUAGUGAGCUAUUCCCUAUCCCACUACCUCUUGUCUGGAAAGCAUUUGUAGACUCAUAGACGGAAGAACUAGUAGAACUAACAGCAAAAAUUCUUUCUGACCAUUCCUCCAAGGAGGUCAAGGAAGGAUACCUGAGUUAAUAUCAUUUUAUCCUCAUGACAACCCUGUGAGGCAUGCUAGGCUAAAAGCUUCAAAGCUCAGUCAAGCCAGGAUUUUGAAUCCUGGACUUUCUCGUCCAAACUGAACCUUCUAUCCAGAACAACAAACUUCCGGCUUUGUUUUCUUUCUAACAUCUAUGCUGCACCAUUUUUUCAAGUACAACUGAACUGCAUCUGCAUUAUAUGUGACUAUCAGUGAAGACUCUGGUAACUACUAUUAAUCAUAUCUUGCAGGAGCUUUAGAUUAGGGUCAGUUUUGGAUUAGGGGAAACAUCACAUGGAUGCAAGCAGACAUAGUUCUUUUUAAAAAAAAAUAUUUAUUUUAUUUGAUUAGACAUUCAUACAAACAUUACUACACAUACACAUACACUUACAACCAUAAUAACAUAAUGAC
Non-coding RNA from Podarcis lilfordi (Lilford's wall lizard), 27485 nucleotides. The record is from the annotation of a GenBank genome assembly. Lineage: Eukaryota; Metazoa; Chordata; Lepidosauria; Squamata; Lacertidae.